GUGUAGCUCAGUGGUAGAGCCCUUGCCUACCACGCAUGAAGCCCUGGGUUCAAGCCCCCCAGUAC
Molecule: transfer RNA, 65 nt
Filed under: Fukomys damarensis (Damara mole-rat)
Lineage: Eukaryota; Metazoa; Chordata; Mammalia; Rodentia; Bathyergidae
Rfam family: tRNA
About the family: Transfer RNA (tRNA) molecules are approximately 80 nucleotides in length. Their secondary structure includes four short double-helical elements and three loops (D, anti-codon, and T loops).
Source: Rfam by way of RNAcentral